AUGACGACUGGCGCACGGGUGAGUAACGCGUAUCCAACCUUCCCAUAACUACGGGAUAACCCGUUGAAAGACGGCCUAAUACCGUAUGAUAUCGUUUGCUGACAUCAAAUAACGAUUAAAGGUUUAGCGGUUAUGGAUGGGGAUGCGUCUGAUUAGCUUGUUGGCGGGGUAACGGCCCACCAAGGCAACGAUCGGUAGGGGUUCUGAGAGGAAGGUCCCCCACAUUGGAACUGAGACACGGUCCAAACUCCUACGGGAGGCAGCAGUC
RNAcentral lists this ribosomal RNA (268 nucleotides) under uncultured Prevotella sp. RNAcentral's name for it is "partial 16S ribosomal RNA". It matches the Rfam family "Bacterial small subunit ribosomal RNA", at positions 88 to 355 of the family's 1533-position model. Lineage: Bacteria; Pseudomonadati; Bacteroidota; Bacteroidia; Bacteroidales; Prevotellaceae. The record is from RNAcentral.